CCUACGGGUGGCUGCAGUGGGGAAUUUUGGACAAUGGGGGCAACCCUGAUCCAGCCAUGCCGCGUGCGGGAAGAAGGCCUUCGGGUUGUAAACCGCUUUUAGCCGGGAAGAAAAGGCGAGGGAUAACACCCUUCGUUCUUGACGGUACCGGCGGAAUAAGCACCGGCUAACUACGUGCCAGCAGCCGCGGUAAUACGUCGGGUGCUAACGUUAAUCGGAAUUACUGGGCGCGAUUCGUUAGCACUGAUGUGAAAGCCCCGGGCUCAACCUGGGAAUGGCAUUGGAUACUGGCGGGCUUGAGUGUGGCAGAGGGGGGUGGAAUUCCGCGUGUAGCAGUGAAAUGCGUAGAGAUGCGGAGGAACACCGAUGGCGAAGGCAGCCCCCUGGGCUGACACUGACGCUCAGGCACGAAAGCGUGGGGAGCAAACAGGAUUAGAUACCCUGGUAGUC
This 450-nucleotide ribosomal RNA is filed under the name uncultured bacterium. Its description in RNAcentral is "partial 16S ribosomal RNA". It matches the Rfam family "Bacterial small subunit ribosomal RNA", at positions 338 to 795 of the family's 1533-position model. The record is from RNAcentral.